GAUGAACGCUGGCGGCGUGCCUAAUACAUGCAAGUCGAGCGAACAGAUGAGGAGCUUGCUCCUCUGACGUUAGCGGCGGACGGGUGAGUAACACGUGGAUAACCUACCUAUAAGACUGGGAUAACUUCGGGAAACCGGAGCUAAUACCGGAUAAUAUAUUGAACCGCAUGGUUCAAUAGUGAAAGACGGUUUUGCUGUCACUUAUAGAUGGAUCCGCGCCGCAUUAGCUAGUUGGUAAGGUAACGGCUUACCAAGGCAACGAUGCGUAGCCGACCUGAGAGGGUGAUCGGCCACACUGGAACUGAGACACGGUCCAGACUCCUACGGGAGGCAGCAGUAGGGAAUCUUCCGCAAUGGGCGAAAGCCUGACGGAGCAACGCCGCGUGAGUGAUGAUGGUCUUCGGAUCGUAAAACUCUGUUAUUAGGGAAGAACAAAUGUGUAAGUAACUAUGCACGUCUUGACGGUACCUAAUCAGAAAGCCACGGCUAACUACGUG
This 497-nucleotide ribosomal RNA is filed under the name uncultured bacterium. Its description in RNAcentral is "partial 16S ribosomal RNA". It matches the Rfam family "Bacterial small subunit ribosomal RNA", at positions 28 to 507 of the family's 1533-position model. The record is from RNAcentral.